AGAGUUUGAUCCUGGCUCAGGAUGAACGCUGGCGGCGUGCUUAACACAUGCAAGUCGAACGGGAUCCAUCAAGCUUGCUUGGUGGUGAGAGUGGCGAACGGGUGAGUAAUGCGUGACCGACCUGCCCCAUGCUCCGGAAUAGCUCCUGGAAACGGGUGGUAAUGCCGGAUGUUCCACAUGAUCGCAUGUGAUUGUGGGAAAGAUUCUAUCGGCGUGGGAUGGGGUCGCGUCCUAUCAGCUUGUUGGUGAGGUAACGGCUCACCAAGGCUUCGACGGGUAGCCGGCCUGAGAGGGCGACCGGCCACAUUGGGACUGAGAUACGGCCCAGACUCCUACGGGAGGCAGCAGUGGGGAAUAUUGCACAAUGGGCGCAAGCCUGAUGCAGCGACGCCGCGUGAGGGAUGGAGGCCUUCGGGUUGUAAACCUCUUUUGUUUGGGAGCAAGCCUUCGGGUGAGUGUACCUUUCGAAUAAGCGCCGGCUAACUACGUGCCAGCAGCCGCGGU
Molecule: ribosomal RNA, 504 nt
Filed under: Bifidobacterium sp. CS30
Lineage: Bacteria; Bacillati; Actinomycetota; Actinomycetes; Bifidobacteriales; Bifidobacteriaceae
Description: bacterial SSU rRNA
Rfam family: Bacterial small subunit ribosomal RNA
Source: RNAcentral